This 289-nucleotide unclassified non-coding RNA is filed under the name Hevea brasiliensis (rubber tree). The record is from RNAcentral. Lineage: Eukaryota; Viridiplantae; Streptophyta; Magnoliopsida; Malpighiales; Euphorbiaceae.
ACCUCUCUCUGGUGUAUCAAUAACUGUAAGCCCCUUUUGCUCACAUUGGCUCCCAUUAGCAACUCCAUCCACCACCUUAACGUCAUCACUCCCACUUUCCUCAAGCUCUGCUUUUCCUUUCUUCUCAAUAACCACAGUUUUCUUAUCUUCUUCUUCUAAUUCUUCUCCAUCCACUUCUUCCUCUAGCUCUGGGAUCCCUUCCUCUUCCCUCACCACUCUGAAGUCAUCAUCAGAACUUCUCCUACAACCACUUAUAAUUUCUGUUCUCAUUGUAUCAAAUGGGUUAAAG